GCCUCGUCGACCUGCUGGGGGGCGAUGAAGUGGAUGUGGGUGUCGAUGCCCCCCGCAGUGACGAUGCGCCCUUCGGCCGCGACGAUCUCGGUCGAGGCACCGAUGGGAAUGGUCACGCCGGGCUGGAUGUCCGGAUUGCCGGCCUUUCCGAUGGCGGCGAUGCGGCCGUUCUUCACGCCGAUGUCGGCCUUGACGAUGCCCCAGUGAUCGACGAUCAGGGCAUUGGUCAGCACCAGAUCCAUGACAUCGGCGGCCAGCUGCUGGCCCUGCCCCAUGCCAUCACGGAU
Lautropia mirabilis ATCC 51599 is the source of this 287-nucleotide small RNA. It matches the Rfam family "5' ureB small RNA". The record is from Rfam. NCBI's taxonomy places the organism in Bacteria, Pseudomonadati, Pseudomonadota, Betaproteobacteria, Burkholderiales, Burkholderiaceae.